Molecule: transfer RNA, 77 nt
Filed under: Perca flavescens (yellow perch)
Lineage: Eukaryota; Metazoa; Chordata; Actinopteri; Perciformes; Percidae
Description: tRNA-Phe
Source: RNAcentral
UCUGGAAAUAGCUCAGUUAGGAGAGCGUUAGACUGAAGAUAUAAAGGUUUCUGGAUCAAUCCUGGGAUGUGGCAGCG